AUUGAACGCUGGCGGCAUGCCUUACACAUGCAAGUCGAACGGCAGCACGGGAGCAAUCCUGGUGGCGAGUGGCGAACGGGUGAGUAAAGUAUCGGAACGUGCCCAGUCGUGGGGGAUGACGUAGCGAAAGUUACGCUAAUACCGCAUACGAUCUAUGGAUGAAAGCGGGGGAUGGCAAGACCUCGCGCGAUUGGAGCGGGCGAUAUCAGAUUAGGUAGUUGGUGGGGUAAAGGCUCACCAAGCCGACGAUCUGUAGCUGGUCUGAGAGGAAGACCAGCCACACUGGGACUGAGACACGGCCCAGACUCCUACGGGAGGCAGCAGUGGGGAAUUUUGGACAAUGGGCGCAAGCCUGAUCCAGCCAUGCCGCGUGCAGGAUGAAGGCCUUCGGGUUGUAAACUGCUUUUGUACGGAACGAAAAGGUUUGGCCUAAUAAGCUGAGCUCAUGACGGUACCGUAAGAAUAAGCACCGGCUAACUACGUGCCAGCCGCCGCGGUAA
Molecule: ribosomal RNA, 500 nt
Filed under: uncultured bacterium
Lineage: Bacteria
Description: partial 16S ribosomal RNA
Rfam family: Bacterial small subunit ribosomal RNA
Source: RNAcentral